ACCUGCCUGGCUUAGUAGGUAGAGCAUGUGUCUUUUGAGCUUGGAGUCAUGAGAUCAAGCCCCAUGUUGGGUG
This 73-nucleotide transfer RNA is filed under the name Ailuropoda melanoleuca (giant panda). It matches the Rfam family "tRNA". Rfam says of the family: Transfer RNA (tRNA) molecules are approximately 80 nucleotides in length. Their secondary structure includes four short double-helical elements and three loops (D, anti-codon, and T loops). Further hydrogen bonds mediate the characteristic L-shaped molecular structure. tRNAs have two regions of fundamental functional importance: the anti-codon, which is responsible for specific mRNA codon recognition, and the 3' end, to which the tRNAs corresponding amino acid is attached (by aminoacyl-tRNA synthetases). tRNAs cope with the degeneracy of the genetic code in two manners: having more than one tRNA (with a specific anti-codon) for a particular amino acid; and 'wobble' base-pairing, i.e. permitting non-standard base-pairing at the 3rd anti-codon position. The record is from Rfam by way of RNAcentral. Lineage: Eukaryota; Metazoa; Chordata; Mammalia; Carnivora; Ursidae.